UACGAAGGGGGCGAGCGUUGUUCGGAUUUACUGGGCGUAAAGGGCUCGUAGGCGGCCAACUAAGUCGGAUGUGAAAUCCCCAGGCUCAACCUGGGAACUGCAUCCGAUACUGGAUGGCUUGAAUUCGGGAGAGGGAUGCAGAAUUCCAGGUGUAGCGGUGAAAUGCGUAGAUAUCUGGAGGAAUACCGGUGGCGAAGGCGGCAUCCUGGACCGACAUUGACGCUGAGGAGCGAAAGCCAGGGGAGCAAACGGG
RNAcentral lists this ribosomal RNA (253 nucleotides) under uncultured bacterium. Its description in RNAcentral is "partial 16S ribosomal RNA". It matches the Rfam family "Bacterial small subunit ribosomal RNA", at positions 524 to 776 of the family's 1533-position model. The record is from RNAcentral.